Molecule: ribosomal RNA, 570 nt
Filed under: Pristimantis espedeus group sp. ABGD cluster 118
Lineage: Eukaryota; Metazoa; Chordata; Amphibia; Anura; Strabomantidae
Description: partial large subunit ribosomal RNA
Rfam family: Bacterial large subunit ribosomal RNA
Source: RNAcentral
CAUCGCCUCUUGUAACCAUAAGAGGUCCAGCCUGCCCAGUGAUUUUAUUCAACGGCCGCGGUACUCUAACCGUGCGAAGGUAGCGUAAUCACUUGUCUCUUAAAUAGAGACUAGUAUGAAAGGCAUCACGAGAACUUAACUGUCUCCUUUCUCCAAUCAGUGAACCUAAUCUCCCCAUGAAAAAGCGGGGAUACCACUAUAAGACGAGAAGACCCUGCGGAGCUUAAAACAACAUAACACUUGCCACUAUCACUAACUACUCCAGCGUUCACCCACCCCAACGGCAUCCUGAUUAUACGUUUUUGGUUGGGGUGACCGCGGAGAAAAACUUAACCUCCGCAAUGAAAGGGCCUACCGCCCUAAACAAACAAGUUACAACUUUAAGUAUCAAAAAUUUGACAUUCAUUGACCCAAUAAAUUGAUUAACGAACCAAGUUACCCCAGGGAUAACAGCACAAUCCACUUUGAGAGCCCCUAUCGACAAGUGGGCUUAUGACCUCGAUGUUGGAUCGGGAUAUCCCAGUGGUGCAGCCGCUACUAAAGGUUCGUUUGUUCAACGAUUAAAAUCCC